Molecule: non-coding RNA, 942 nt
Organism: Salvelinus sp. IW2-2015
Lineage: Eukaryota; Metazoa; Chordata; Actinopteri; Salmoniformes; Salmonidae
Source: RefSeq, a predicted model, not a curated record
GACUAAAGAGAGAGACGAGCUACAGACCAGUUAUAACACCCUGACUAAAGAGAAAGACCAGCUACAGACCAGUUAUAACACCCUGACUAAAGAGAAAGACCAGCUACAGAGCCGUUACAACACCUUGACUAAAGAGAGAGACAAUCUACAGACCAGUUACAACACCCUGACUAAAGAGAGAGACGAUCUACAGACCAGUUACAACACCCUGACUGAAGAGAGAGACCAGCUACAGAACAGUCUCACKACAAGGACRAAAGASAGYGACCAGCAGCAAAAUAGUCUUAAAGUUAUGACUGCUGAAAGGGAGCAAUUACAGAAUAGUCUUAACUCAAGGACCAAAGAGAGAAACCAGUUGCAGAAUAAUCUAAAUACCAGGACCAKAGAGAAAAACCAYCUACAGAAUAGUCUCACAACCAAAACUAAGGAGAAAGACCAGUUGCAGAAUACUCUCACCACAAUAACUCAGGAGAGAGARCAGAUGCAGAAWACUCUAAAUACCAGGACCACAGAGAAAGACCAGUUACAGAAUAGUCUAAAUACCAGGACCACUGAGAGAGACCAGCUACAGAACAGUCUAAAUACCACGACCACUGAGAGAGACCAGCUACAGAACAGUCUAAAUACCACGACCACUGAGAGAGACCAGCUACAGAAUAGUCUAAAUACCAGAACCACUGACAGAGACCAGUUACAGACCAGGCUUAGGUUCUAUGAGAAACCCUGUCUGGAUGGAUGGUGGAAGUUUGGCACCAGCUGUUACUAUGUCUCCUCCACGAUGGACACAGGCGGGGSCGGUCAGKYGSAGUGCAGAGCAAUGGGUGCAGAUGAUGUUAUUAUAAACAGCAGAGAAGAACAGAUAUUUAUCCAUGGAUUUAAGAAGAAUGUCUGGAUUGGUGCAUAAAAAAGAUGGAAUCUGGAGUGGGUUGACAACACACCAUU